UAUAUAAAACGAACAAGUCACAAAACGCACUAGCUAUAUGCCUGUAUGUAUCUCUCAAUUUGUAUACCUUGUCACUCAAGAAGAGCAUAUAGUUUUACACGGAGGCAAGCUACCGAGUCACAAUAUUACAAAACCAGGAAUAUUACAGGUAUGCAUAUGGCAUGCACUGGAAACAAUUAGAAUUAACUAAUAGGUAGACUAAUAUAUUAGAAUAAUCAUCACCGACGAUGAGCAUUACGUUUUUAAAAUGAUUGAUACUGGAUUUGUUUUCAAUUCCUUUUGAUUUAUGUUUUUGAAAGAAAAAAAAAUUUGUUAAAUGAUGACAAAAAACAUAAAUCAAAAGAAUUUUAAAACAAACCCAAUACCGAUCAUUUUAAAAGCGUAAUGCUCAUUGUCGGUAAUGAUUGUGUAUUUGGCUCAAGAUAGAUUAGUUACAUCAUUUGAGUUGUUUAUGCAAUAAAAUAAAAGAAAAAUUGAUACAAGAUUUAUACUUUAGAGUGUAAAAUAUAAACUCUGACAUUACCUUUGAUUUCUCGAAGGGCAUGAACAAAAGUUAUCUGGACUGGAUCGAAGCUUAAUUGUCUGAUUUGAUCGACUGAGUAUGAGAAGCUUGAGAUCGAACUUGCAAUUGUGGCAAAGUGAUGAAGAGUGCCUAUUGAAUUUAUAGAGCAUGCAUUAUAUCAUUG
Molecule: long non-coding RNA, 686 nt
Filed under: Fragaria vesca (wild strawberry)
Lineage: Eukaryota; Viridiplantae; Streptophyta; Magnoliopsida; Rosales; Rosaceae
Description: long non-coding RNA (FVES_LNC000697)
Source: RNAcentral